CUCAGUUCGGAUUGGAGUCUGCAACCCGACUCCAUGAAGCUGGAUUCGCUAGUAAUCGCGCAUCAGCCAUGGCGCGGUGAAUACGUUCCCGGGCCUUGUACACACCGCCCGUCAAGCCAUGGGAGCCGGGGGUGCUUGAAGUGCGUCGCCGCAAGGCGCGCCCUAGAGCAAAACCGGUGACUGGGGCUAAGUCGUAACAAGGUACC
Molecule: ribosomal RNA, 206 nt
Filed under: uncultured bacterium
Lineage: Bacteria
Description: partial 16S ribosomal RNA
Rfam family: Bacterial small subunit ribosomal RNA
Source: RNAcentral